GGUGGUCGAGCAUUGAGUGUUGAAAAGAUGCCGAGUGGCAAACGGGUGAGUAACGCGUAGACAACCUGCCGCAAAGAUGGGGACAACAGUCCGAAAGGACUGCUAAUACCGAAUGUUGUGCAACUUCCGCAUGGGAGAUGCAUUAAAGAUGGCCUCUACUUGUAAGCUAUCGCUUUGCGAUGGGUCUGCGUCUGAUUAGCUAGUUGGUGGGGC
RNAcentral lists this ribosomal RNA (213 nucleotides) under Pseudoselenomonas ruminis. RNAcentral describes it as "Selenomonas sp. mPRGC5 partial 16S ribosomal RNA". It matches the Rfam family "Bacterial small subunit ribosomal RNA", at positions 61 to 258 of the family's 1533-position model. The record is from RNAcentral. Lineage: Bacteria; Bacillati; Bacillota; Negativicutes; Selenomonadales; Selenomonadaceae.